RNAcentral lists this ribosomal RNA (540 nucleotides) under uncultured fungus. RNAcentral describes it as "eukaryotic LSU rRNA". The stretch from base 165 to 318 matches the Rfam family "5.8S ribosomal RNA". Lineage: Eukaryota; Fungi. The record is from RNAcentral.
UCCGUAGGUGAACCUGCGGAAGGAUCAUUAAUAGUGCCCUCUGAUGCAAAUCAUUGGGUUAGAUCUGCUCUCUUCGCAAGAAGAGGGUUUCCAUACACACCGUGAACUGUGGCUUCGGCCAUCACAAACUGUUAGUAAUGAAUGUAAUAUCAUAACAAAAACAAAACUUUUAACAACGGAUCUCUUGGCUCUCGCAUCGAUGAAGAACGCAGCGAAAUGCGAUAAGUAAUGUGAAUUGCAGAAUUCAGUGAAUCAUCGAAUCUUUGAACGCACCUUGCGCCCUUUGGUAUUCCGAAGGGCAUGCCUGUUUGAGUGUCAUUUGUACCCUCAAGCUUUGCUUGGUGUUGGGUGUUUGUCCUCUCCUUUGCGUUUGGACUCGCCUUAAAGCAAUUGGCAGCCAGUGUUUUGGUAUUGAAGCGCAGCACAAUUUGCGAUUCUAACCGACUACACUUGCGUCCAUAAGCCUUUUUAACUUUUGACCUCGGAUCAGGUUAGGGAUACCCGCUGAACUUAAGCAUAUCAAUAAGCGGAGGAAGUCGA